CUGAAGUUCUAGGAAGCUGAUGUCCUUUGUUUGUCUACAAAAUAGGCAUAGCUCAGGCCCAGCAGUGAAGGCUUCUUCCCGCUGCUUUGCCAAUUUGCUUCAACCCUACCCUGGAGGGGUCACUUCUGGGAAUCUAAGAAUCAUUCAGUCUCCAUUCGAGAUCUCUGAGACGUCCAG
RNAcentral lists this small RNA (177 nucleotides) under Gopherus agassizii (Agassiz's desert tortoise). RNAcentral describes it as "TUC338 (ENSGAGG00000021087.1)". Lineage: Eukaryota; Metazoa; Chordata; Testudines; Testudinidae. The record is from RNAcentral.